This 2525-nucleotide ribosomal RNA is filed under the name Dehalococcoidia bacterium. Its description in RNAcentral is "partial 23S ribosomal RNA". It matches the Rfam family "Bacterial large subunit ribosomal RNA", at positions 968 to 2925 of the family's 2925-position model. Lineage: Bacteria; Bacillati; Chloroflexota; Dehalococcoidia. The record is from RNAcentral.
AUCCGAUACCCGGGAGUGAGACUGCCACAGAUAAGUGCGGUAGUCGAAAGGGAAACAGCCCAGAUCACCGGCUAAGGCCCCCAAGUGCAAGCUAAGUGGCAAAGGAAGUGAGAUUCCCCAGACAACCAGGAGGUUGGCUUAGAAGCAGCCAUCCUUUAAAGAGUGCGUAACAGCCCACUGGUCGAGGGGUUUCGCGCCGAAAAUGUAACGGGGCUCAAGCUUGCCGCCGAAGCCGUGAAUGUUCAGGUACAGAGGCUAACAUCCUGCUCCCAAUGGUGGAUCUACCGGGAAUCCGGCGAUCGGGAAACUCCGACUUCGGUUGGAGCGGAACGGCCAAAGGGCUCCCGGCGGUGAACCCGGCGGGAAAUGGGUCGGAUCCUCUGAAUACUGCCUGGGUAUGGUAGGGGAGCGUUCCUCGGGCGAUGAAGGUUAGUCGUGAGGCUGGCUGGAGCGCGGGGAAGUGAGAAUCCUGGAAUGAGUAACGUAAACUAGGGUGAAAAUCCCUGGCGCCGAAAGCCCAAGGUUUCCUACGCAACGUUUAUCGGCGUAGGGUUAGUCGGUCCUAAGCCGUAGGCAAGCGCCGAAGGCGAUGGACAGCAGGUUAAUAUUCCUGCACCGCCGUUGUUUCGCUUUAAAACUAAGGAGGGGUGCGGAAGGGUAGGUAGGGCAUGCCUAUUGGACAUGGUGUGUUCUUCUCCGUAGGCCAAGCUGGGGCAGGCAAAUCCACUCCAGCGUUACGAGCCGAGAGAGGAGGGAAUCGAUCCUUCGGGAUACGAAACUCUACUGAUCCCAAGCCGACGAGAAAAGCUUCGUAGUUAUGGAACAGGGGCGACCGUACCGCAAACCGCCACUGGUGGGCAAGGAUAAAAGUCCUAAGGCGUUCGAGCUAACCUCCGUUAAGGAACUAGACAAAAGAGCCCUGUAACUUUGGGAGAAAGGGCCCCCCGGUAGGUGAAGCCACUAGCUGGUGGAGCGUUCUGGGGGCGCAGAGAAGAAGGCCGGGCGACUGUUUAACAAAAACACAGGUCUGUGCUAAGGGGAAACCCUACGUAUACAGGCUGACGCCUGCCCAGUGCCGGAAGGUUAAGGGGAGCGGUGAGAGCUGCGAACUGAAGCCCCGGUGAACGGCGGCCGUAACUCUAACGGUCAACCGGUUAGUCCAAACAGGCCCCGGGCGCAAGCCCUGGCCUCUAAGGCUGACCAAGGCCGUUAUAAAAUCUGGCUAUAUGCUGGAAACUCCGAGUAUCCGGCGCUACCCGUUGAUCUAAUCUGGGUCAAUUGGUGACAAUGCGUCCGGUGCGGACAAUCAGCAGGAAAGACCGAGGAGAAGAAAGGCCGGACCAUGUCCAUGGAAAGGCACGGACCUCCCCGGAAUCCUCAGAGACCAUACGCCAGACCCCUGUCGGAACGUGGGGAAGAUAUGGUCCGAUCUGUGUGGCGACAUGCAGAGGCCGGCAGAAAUGUCCGGCCCCGUCUAACUACCCCAUCCUAACCUUCCCCUUCAAUAAGGGAAGGGACCAAUGGAGAAGUUUGAUGAGUAACAAAUUGCCUAAGGUAGCGAAGUCCCUUGUCGGGUAAGUUCCGACCCGCAUGAAUGGUUGAACGACUUGGCCAUUGUCUCGACGAAGGCCUCGGUGAAAUUACGGUGCCCGUGAAGACGCGGGCGACCCGCGGCAGGACAAAAAGACCCCGUGGAGCUUUACUGUAGCCUGGUAUUGGGCUGGGAGCUGUCAUGUGUAGGAUAGGUGGGAGGCUAUGAAGCCCCAACGCUAGUUGGGGUGGAGCCGCCGUUGAAAUACCACCCUUGGCUGUUUUUGGUUCUAACCUCAGCAAAACUGGGGGACAGUGCCUGGUGGGCAGUUUAACUGGGGCGGUUGCCUCCUAAAAUGUAACGGAGGCGCCCAAAGGUCCCCUCAGGACGGAUGGAAAUCGUCCUAAGAACGCAUUGGCAUAAGGGGGCUUGACUGUAAGACCUACAAGUCGAGCAGGGACGAAAGUCGGGCAAAGUGAUCCUACGGCACCGUGUGGAAGGGCCGUGGCUUAUCGGAUAAAAGCUACCCCGGGGAUAACAGGCUUAUCUCGCCCAAGAGUUCACAUCGACGGCGAGGUUUGGCACCUCGAUGUCGGCUCGUCCCAUCCUGGGGCUGAAGGCGGUCCCAAGGGUCCGGCUGUUCGCCGGUUAAAGGGGUACGUGAGUUGGGUUCAGAACGUCGUGAGACAGUUCGGUCUCUAUCCGCCGUGGGCGCAGGAGGUUUGAGGGAACCUUUCCCUAGUACGAGAGGACCGGGAAGGACAGACCUAUGGUGUUCCAGUUGUUCCGCCAGGAGCAGCGCUGGGUAGCCAAGUCUGGCAGUGAUAAGCGCUGAAGGCAUCUAAGCGCGAAGCAUCCCCCAAGAUGAGACCUCCCUUCCCGAUUUGCGUCGGGAGUAAGAUCGCAGAGAGACUAUCUGCUUGAUAGGCCGGAUGUGUAAGGACGGUAACGUUUUCAGCAUACCGGUACUAACCGAUCGAGAGGCUUGACCCAC